AUACACUUUCUGUCUUUAUUAUCAUCUUCUCUGCUAUAGAAAGUGUUCCGAUGCAAGGCCACUAAAUUUAGUCUCAUUUUAUAGACAUUACAGAAACACAUUUAUUCCACCUGAAGGACUCAAAGGCCAUGGUGAAUGGGUUCCUAUCUAGGAAGAAAGUCAGCCUCAUUGAAUGGAAUCUUGUGAAAUUCUAGAUGUGAUUAUCUCCUCCAUUCUGAUGACAGCAACCACAAGGUUCAGGUUUACAGCAAUGCUAUCUGUACUUGUGGAAGCAGGAGACAACUGUAAGGAGAAGAAACCUCAUUGGCUCUUUAAUUUGCUCUUGCAGGGAAAAUAUAGAGAACGCAGGAAAACACCCAGAUUGAGAUUUGGCUGCCCAAGCUGCAAAUACUUAGGAAACCAAACAACUGGCCUGACCUCAAGCACAACCCAAAUUCUCGAACCUCAUAUAAAGUGUGAACCUAAGAUACUUAAGAGAAGCCACUAAUUUCUGGUUCAGAGUGAAAAUAAGGGCACCUACAAAACAGGGAGAGUGAGGAGUUGGGAUCUUUUCUGUUGUGUCUCAGAACUUCAGGGUUAAGACCCUUCCUGGGUGAUGGAUAAAGGAAGUCAUUGUCCAGAUGAAAGACUCAUGAACUUGGAGACAGGAAUGAAGCCAUUGAAGCAACUUGGACGUCGGGAAUUCACUGAAGACCAGACUAAAGAGGGGCUUGUUCUAAUAGAAAUUCAUCUAAAAAGUUGGAGAUUCUGUAGAAGAUCUGAUGAAGAGGGCCAAUCACUGAGGAAAAAUGGAUAGCAUCCUAAAACAGUGGGUAGUAAGGGAACCGGUAUGUCUGAUCUUUUAAAGGAAAGAGCAAUUAAAGAAAUCCUUACAGAUUCCUCCUGGCUGAAUUGUAGGCUCAAUUUCUUUAGAGUAUCUUCUGCUCCCAUCAAGCUUGCUGACACCUGUCUCUCUGAAUCAUACUAUUGUACUAAGAACAGAGAUUCAACAUCAGAUUAGAGUUUAAACACUGGUUUCUGCAAUAGUUAGGAGUCAUUGUGUCACAAGUGAUAGAUAAUCUAAUUCAAAUUGGCUUAAGCAUAAAAAGAAUUUUUGAUUCAAGUUCAUGCAAUUGUAAAGAUGAAACAGGACUCUAACAAAUAUCAUCAAAUCAAAAUAUCUCUUUAUUCUUUCUCUCUCUGUGACUGUCUGUC
This 1194-nucleotide long non-coding RNA is filed under the name Homo sapiens (human). Its description in RNAcentral is "HSALNT0385703". Lineage: Eukaryota; Metazoa; Chordata; Mammalia; Primates; Hominidae. The record is from RNAcentral.